Molecule: microRNA precursor, 103 nt
Filed under: Marmota monax (woodchuck)
Lineage: Eukaryota; Metazoa; Chordata; Mammalia; Rodentia; Sciuridae
Source: RNAcentral
ACUGGGAUAGCUGGGUCAAAUGGUGGUUUCAUUUCAAGUUUUCUAAGGAAUCUCAACACUGAUUUGCAAAGUGGUUGCACCAAUUUGCAUUCCCACCAGCAAU